CUCAGUGGGCUGCAGUAGGCUGUAGAGGGGCGCUCUGGGGAGAGGGAGGAGCGCGGCGCAUGCGUUGCAGCACCGUGCGGCGCUCCUGGAGAGGCUGUGGGUUCGUGGCAUCCGCGCCGCGGCCGCAAGUAUAGCAGGUUUCCUACCUGGGGUUCAUCGCCGUAUAAGUCAUCGCUGCUGCCACCCAGGCACGGCUCUCGGUCCCGCCGCUCCCUCCGCCCUCUCGGCACGGCCGGCCCUACGAAUUUUUUGCUACGACACUCGCUUCAGCAGGAGUGCCGGGGGUCAAGCUCAAGACUUACAUGUGCUUGAUGAUGCUGUCAGAAGUCAUGCUGCUUGUGAAGAUAUAAACUGAACCCUUUUGAUUCUGUGAGCUUAUUAAACAAUAUAAUUUUCAAAUCACAGUAAAAUCUUGAUUCAGCAACACGCCAGGAUAAUCAUUGUUUCCAUGGCCACCCUUGGAGGCAGUUGAAAGCCUGGACUUCACUGUCCUUGUAGCCUGGAGCAUUAGUGCAGCAUGUUCACAAAGUCGGUCAUUUCCUGCCAGCACAGCUCCUGAGUACUGGGACCACACGUAUGCACCAACAUGCUCAUCUCUGCCACUAAUAGCAGCUACUGUCGCCUCCUCACGAAAUGAUGGCUGACCUAGGGUUUUGGACAUACUAAACAAUUCCUCUACCCCUGAACUGUAUCUCUGGCUUUAGGGAAGAUACUUUGGAAAAAUGGUUUAGAGUUUGCCAGAUCCUAUGAGUGAGGGACCUCAAACGAUAAGAGGAGGGUACUCCUCAAUGGAAUCGGUAACCCAGUCAGCAAGGUUGAAAGGAACAGAGCCAGUUGUCCAUGGACUGAAACUUUUGAAACUGAAUCUGAGGAGUUAAUGUUUCCAUGACUAUCUCGGAAGGAGAGGUGGACAAAGGAACAGGUAGCUCACUCCUGCAGCUUACAGUGAUAAAACACUGACCGAAAACACGUGGGGAAGGAAAGCGCUGAUCUAACUUAUAUGUCAGAGGGAAGCCAAGUCAUGAACCUGGAGGGGUUUCAGGUGCAAAUGCCUGCAGGAUCCUGAUGGGGUACAUGUGUGAGAUGGUUCCUGGUAUUUUCAUAUUCUCUCUCUUUCAUAUUCUCUCUCUCUCUCCCCCUCCCUCUCUUCCUCUUUCCCUCUCUCUCUCGACAAGUGAUGGAUCUAAGGGGAUGGGAGAGUAUUUGAGACCCUGACCAGUUUAAUAUGCACAAUGCAUCUAAGAGAAAGGCUACUACUUGGCUGCUGCUAAUUGUCUGGAAAGGUAAAUCCAGGAUUGCCAGGACUUCUGGUUCACUACAAGGGAAACUUGAGGAGCUUCAAAGUUUUUAUUGCUUUUCAUACCUCACACAAUAGAAGAGUAUGUCCAUAAAUGCUUUAAUAAUCUUACAGUCUCUGUCUAUUUGCAGUUGUAUUACUGUGACGUUAACUGUGUUCUUUUGCUUUUAACCAAGGGUAUGUGGGACACUUCUGUUCUACUUAGAUCAGCCCUGCUACUUUCCUUUGGGCAGAGUUUAGAACUGGACCACAAUGUGGAUACAUCUAUCUAUGUAACUUAGGAUGAAAUA
Molecule: long non-coding RNA, 1587 nt
Organism: Apodemus sylvaticus (European woodmouse)
Lineage: Eukaryota; Metazoa; Chordata; Mammalia; Rodentia; Muridae
Exons: 10
Source: RefSeq, a predicted model, not a curated record